Molecule: ribosomal RNA, 483 nt
Filed under: uncultured bacterium
Lineage: Bacteria
Description: partial 16S ribosomal RNA
Rfam family: Bacterial small subunit ribosomal RNA
Source: RNAcentral
AGUGAACGCUGGCGGCAGGCCUAACACAUGCAAGUCGAGCGGCAGCGCGGGGGCAACCCUGGCGGCGAGCGGCGGACGGGUGAGGAAUUCGUCGGAAUCUGCCUUUUUGUGGGGGAUAACGUAGGGAAACUUACGCUAAUACCGCAUACGUCCUACGGGAGAAAGUGGGGGACCGCAAGGCCUCACGCAGAAAGAUGAGCCGACGACCGAUUAGCUAGUUGGUGGGGUAAAGGCCCACCAAGGCGACGAUCGGUAGCUGGUCUGAGAGGAUGAUCAGCCACACUGGGACUGAGACACGGCCCAGACUCCUACGGGAGGCAGCAGUGGGGAAUAUUGGACAAUGGGCGCAAGCCUGAUCCAGCCAUGCCGCGUGUGUGAAGAAGGCCUUCGGGUUGUAAAGCACUUUUGUCCGGAAAGAAAUCCCUGGAGCUAAUACCUCGGGGGAUGACGGUACCGGAAGAAUAAGCACCGGCUAACUUCGUG